This 306-nucleotide unclassified non-coding RNA is filed under the name plant metagenome. Its description in RNAcentral is "partial contains 5.8S ribosomal RNA, internal transcribed spacer 2, and large subunit ribosomal RNA". The stretch from base 1 to 105 matches the Rfam family "5.8S ribosomal RNA", at positions 50 to 154 of the family's 154-position model. The record is from RNAcentral.
GAAAUGCGAUAAGUAAUGUGAAUUACAGAAUUCAGUGAAUCAUCGAAUCUUUGAACGCACAUUGCGCCCGCCAGUAUUCUGGCGGGCAUGCCUGUCCGAGCGUCAUUUCAACCAUCAAGCCCCCGGGCUUGUGUUGGGGACCUGCGGCUGCCCGCAGGCCCUGAAAACCAGUGGCGGGCUCGCUGUCACACCGAGCGUAGUAGCAAUCACCUCGCUCAGGGCGUGCUGCGGGUUCCGGCCGUUAAACAGCCUUACAAAACCCAAGGUUGACCUCGGAUCAGGUAGGAAGACCCGCUGAACUUAAGC